Perca fluviatilis (European perch) is the source of this 2563-nucleotide RNA transcript. It is a transcript of the gene named EF-hand domain (C-terminal) containing 2, with no coding region annotated. The record is from RefSeq and is a predicted model, not a curated record. The transcript is spliced from 17 exons. Lineage: Eukaryota; Metazoa; Chordata; Actinopteri; Perciformes; Percidae.
CAAGUCACUCAAUUCAGAGAAUUUAAUUUUGACGUAACAAUUCAUCUACAUGCCCACCCCCCCUCCGUUACGAACGUUGCUAAGAGACGCACCCAAACAUAACGCUUCCGUGGAAACCAACAACCGUUGAAAAUGUUUAGCAGCUAAAUGAAAAGAAAUAACAUCGACUUGUUUUAAAUAUUACACUUACAGCCAUGGCGUUACCAUUUCUACCCGGGAAUUCUCCUAAUAAACAACUGGGGAAGGAGAAAUUCCACAAAUCCCAACAUUUUGACUAUUCCAAUGGCGUCCCUAUGCUGGUGGGCUGUGAGAAGCCAGGCAUUGGAGGAGAGCCGCUAGGCGGCCAGAAGAUUAAACCAAAGUAUUCUGUCUACCCCAAGGGCCAGGGCAGUGCUCUGCCAUCAUGGCUAGCCUUCGACAAACAGGCUCUGUGUUUUGAAGCAUACUGUCAGGAAGCUGUGCCUGAGGCCCGAGACGAGACGUACCGAAUCAGGAAGUUUAACAUCUACUUCUUCCUGGAAGAUGACACCAUACAGGUGGUGGAGCCGGAGUACAAGAACAGUGGCAUCCCUCAAGGAACAUUUAUUCGCCGCCAGCGUGUCCCUCUGCCUCCCCCAAAUGAUGACCAGUUCUACAACAUUUUCCAUUUCAACCUAGACCAACAGAUGGUGCUGCACUCACGCACAUUCACUGUGACCAACUGUGACACUUUUACAAGGAACUUUUUCUCAAAACUUGGGGUGCGCCUGAACAACCCAGCUGCCGUACCUGCUGACCCCUACAGCAACCUCCGUGAACAGAUUGAGAAAAGCAUGACGCCACUCCGGCCGUACGAGAGGCGCGACACGCUGAAGCAGUUCCUGGACCACGAAGGCGAAGUCCUGCGCUUCAAGUGCUUCUGGGACGACUCGGAGAGCGUGUUCGGGGACCUCCGGGAACUCGUACUGCACUACUUCCUCGCUGAUGACACCAUAGAGAUCCUGGAGAUCAUCCCCCCAAACUCUGGGAGGGAUACUGCGGCCAAAUUCCUACGCCGCAGCAAACUGCCCAAGCAUUCAGUCCAAAUGAAGCAGCCCGGACAGCUCACGGACCGCACAGUGCUCAAUGUGUUUGACUCUUCCAAACAGGGGAAACGCUACAUACUGGACAGCCUCAAAACAGGAGCAGUCAAUGAGGAUUUUUAUAAGGACUGUGACCUGACCAUAGGUCAGGAGGUGAGUGUGUGGGGCAGGAGGCUGAUCAUCGCUGACUGUGACGACUUCACCAAAGACUACUACCGCUUCAAAUACGGCAUAGAGGACUUCACCCCAGUGAGGUACAAAGCUCCCCCGGCCCCAAAGCCCCCGAGGCCCGUGCCCCCCUACAACGGCUUUGGCUCGGAGGAGGACUCGCUGAGCUCCUGCCAGGGCCUGCUGCCCAAACCCCCGCAGAAAGAUUUCCACAAGUUUAUGGAGAAAGACAAAAAUGUGCUGAAGUUCUCUGCCAAGAUGGUGACCGACGAUCCAGUUGACAGCGAGCGGAUGUUCAUCAUCUCCUUCUACCUCUGCGAUGACUCCAUCAGCGUGUAUGAGCAUUCUCAAAGGAACUCAGGCGUGCUCGGUGGUAAGUUUCUGGAGCGCAGCCGUGUAAAGAAGCCAGGCCAGCAGCUGUUUAAGAGCGAGCUGUCCGAGUACUUUACAGCUCAGGAUAUGUACGUCGGAGCGACCAUCUGCAUCAACAAUUGGAACUUCCAACUUCUGGAUGCCGAUGAAUACACCUUGAACUACAUGGAGCAACGUGCUGAGGAGUUCCCCAAAGCCAACGUGGGAAACAUCCUCAGUAAACUACGGUCCAUUCAGGAGGAGAAACAGAGUGAGAUCAAGAAGUUUCUGACUCUCAGUGACCCCAGCGACACUGGCUUCAUCCCCUAUGAGUCGUUCAGGGGCCUGCUGACCGGCCUGGACUGCGGUCUGUCGGAGCACGAGGUGCUCAUUCUGGGCCGAUAUUUCUCUGAGCGCACGCAGCCGGAGGCGGACGUGAGCCUGAUGCUGGCUGUGGCCCAGGACUUCCUCAAGAAGAAGCACUUUGAAGAGCUCCCUGACAUGGCCAGAGACUUCACACACCGUGACCAACAGAAGACUGGCCGUCUCUCCACCAAAGAGACGAGGACCAUCUGUAAGGCCUUCAAGCUCCCCCUGCCUGAGACGCUGCUCGGAGGUCUGCUCAGCGUGUUUGCAGAUGGGGAUGAGAUUGACUACCACGCCUUCCUGGCUGGCAUUAACUGGGUAGAGCAUCAUGCUCCCCCAGUGAUGCCCGAAGACACUUUAAAGUUUGAUGUGAAUGCGAGGUCUGACGGCGGUGGGGCUACGGUGAAGCACGUCAACUACUCUUCCCUUCUGAGGGACGUUUUCAACAUUACCUCCAACAACGCUGAGCCAACAGCCGCCACGUAGACACAAAGAGCCUGUUUGGUGGUGUAUAGGCUUUCACCCUCUCCUGCUGCCGGCUGUAAAUCGCUUCUGUCGAAGGUGUGCGUGUGCAUGCGUGAGGGGGGGAACAGAAGGGUGUCUGUCUUCAUGUUGAG